RNAcentral lists this ribosomal RNA (293 nucleotides) under uncultured bacterium. Its description in RNAcentral is "partial 16S ribosomal RNA". It matches the Rfam family "Bacterial small subunit ribosomal RNA", at positions 30 to 319 of the family's 1533-position model. The record is from RNAcentral.
AUUGAACGCUGGCGGAAUGCUUUACACAUGCAAGUCGAGCGGCAGCGCGGGGCAACCUGGCGGCGAGCGGCGAACGGGUGAGUAAUGUAUCGGAACGUGUCCUUGAGUGGGGAGUAGCCUGGUGAAACCGGAACUUAAUACCGCAUACGCAGGAGGACUGGAAAGGACGGGGGAGUCGCAAGACCUCGCGCUCUAGGAGCGGCCGAUAUCCGAUUAGUUUGUUGGUGAGGUAAAGGACUUACCAAGGCGAUGAUCGGUAGCUGGUCUGAGAGGAUGAUCAGCCACACUGGGAC